Molecule: long non-coding RNA, 1228 nt
Filed under: Mus pahari (shrew mouse)
Lineage: Eukaryota; Metazoa; Chordata; Mammalia; Rodentia; Muridae
Description: pseudopodium-enriched atypical kinase 1, opposite strand (MGP_PahariEiJ_G0002282.1)
Source: RNAcentral
UCAGCUGCUCGCCUGCUGCCUUCAGAGUGCAAAACUGAUUCAGCUUCCGUUGAUCUGUAAAAAAUGCUGACCUGACAUGCCAAGACCUUCAGUACAUGACUAAAAGGGUGGGGAGGAAGUGGAAGCAGAGCUGCAGGAAGAGGCUUGCAGGAGAUAAAAGAUAGCUUCACUGUGGGUCACAAAUAGAGACUCUAUGAGUAGGCGCUUCUGGAGACAUGAUGAUGAUGAUGAUGAUUAAGAAGAUGACUAUGAUAAUAAUAUCACUUUCCUGGCUACCAUAAGAAUAGGCAAACUCUUAAGAUAUGAUGUUCUCUUAGCUCAAGAACAGAUCAAAGGAAAGCAUGCUUAAUUUGCAUAUUUUAAAGCUCUAUUACAGGACAGAAGCAGCCCAUUCACUUUUAGCUGUUCAGGAUUCUGUUCAGGGGUUACCUGUGAUGACUUUCCCUUCUGAGUCCCUAAAUCCCACUAUUAUUAUAAUAUCGCACCAUACUAUAAAAUACGAGUCCCGAGAAGAGAGAACUGUGUUAUGCCCUUUUCUCAUUUGCAUCAAUGGACUGCUGAGAAGAAAAUAGACCCUAAAAUAAGAGAGCAGGCUGAACAAAUCCCAGUAAGUCCCACACACAGGGUUUCUUUGCCCAUGAAGAUUCAAAAUUUUCAAAAAAUCCUGGGACAUAUAUGAUACCAUUGGUCCUGCUCUUAGAAUGAAGAAACUGGGAUUUGCCCAAGGCCACACAGAGCCUGUGAAGGCCAGAGCCAGGGUGAGUGAAUGCACCAUGUGUGUGUACAAAUGGUACAGUUCAGCUCAGGCAUGGCCGACGGAGAAGACAUGUUGUGUAUAUCAAAAGAAAAGAAAUGAGAAGAGAGAUGAAGGAGGUAAAGUGCAGAGGGAAAGGGAAACUGGGAAGGAAAAAAUUCAUUAUUCUACGAAGAGAAAUCAGACUUGUAUGAUUUUUAGCAAUACAACCAUUUCUAGAGACUUUGUUAUCUAGAGUAACCUGUACUUUGGUAAGUGAUAUUAUAUUUUCAACUACACUAAAAUUUUCCUUCUUCAGUUACAGUAAAGUAAACAAUCUAUUCUGUAAAACAUAAUUUAAGCCUUUAAAGAAGAAAAUAGCAAAUUAAUCAACGUCUGAAUCACACACUACUUUGAGAAGUAUAGAUUGAUUGCUUCAAGAAAAUACUGCAAUGUAACAAGUUUUAAUUAAAAUUAUACUGAAAGAGUAUUUCC